UGUUACUAGUAUCGGAUUGCUUGGGACUAGAUGCAAGGUUUACGUCUACUUCAACCCCCUUUGCAGGCUCCACAUAGCCAGUGGACUUGCGUUUAGACCGAUGCCUUAUUAAAUUAUCUUCCUCUAGGUCUUCAACUUCGUCUUGAGCAGAUGUGCUUCCUGUUUCCAUCCUUCCAUUUAGUGCUCUGACUUUCCUCAGCUCCACGUCCACCUCAGUUAACUUAGAAGCUUCUAUUUUUGAUCCUCCAAUGCUCUCCCCUCGCUGAGGGAUAUCUUCCUCUGGCUUGAUAGACGAAGCUGCAGGCGAAACUUCAAAAUUAUUCAAGUGAGAAAGAUGUUCUUGAGUUCUAAGGUUGCUUAAAUCAGUGUGCGAAGUUAUGGGAUCAUUUGGAUAAGCUUGCCCAACAUCCUUCUUUGAAG
Molecule: unclassified non-coding RNA, 420 nt
Filed under: Hevea brasiliensis (rubber tree)
Lineage: Eukaryota; Viridiplantae; Streptophyta; Magnoliopsida; Malpighiales; Euphorbiaceae
Source: RNAcentral